GACGAACGCUGGCGGCGUGCUUAACACAUGCAAGUCGAACGGAAAGGCCCUGCUUUUGUGGGGUGCUCGAGUGGCGAACGGGUGAGUAACACGUGAGUAACCUGCCCUUGACUUUGGGAUAACUUCAGGAAACUGGGGCUAAUACCGGAUAGGAGCUCCUGCUGCAUGGUGGGGGUUGGAAAGUUUCGGCGGUUGGGGAUGGACUCGCGGCUUAUCAGCUUGUUGGUGGGGUAGUGGCUUACCAAGGCUUUGACGGGUAGCCGGCCUGGAAGGGUGACCGGCCACAUUGGGACUGGGGAACGGCCCAGACGCCAACGGGAGGCAGCAGUGGGGAAUAUUGCACAAUGGGCGGAAGCAGGGUGCAGCAUCGCCGCGUGCGGGAUGACGGCCUUCGGGUUGUAAACCGCUUUCGCCUGUGACGACGCGUGAGUGACGGUAAUGGGCAAAGAAGCACCGGCGAACUACGU
Molecule: ribosomal RNA, 467 nt
Filed under: uncultured bacterium
Lineage: Bacteria
Description: partial 16S ribosomal RNA
Rfam family: Bacterial small subunit ribosomal RNA
Source: RNAcentral